RNAcentral lists this ribosomal RNA (253 nucleotides) under uncultured bacterium. Its description in RNAcentral is "partial 16S ribosomal RNA". It matches the Rfam family "Bacterial small subunit ribosomal RNA", at positions 524 to 776 of the family's 1533-position model. The record is from RNAcentral.
UACGUAGGGUGCGAGCGUUGUCCGGAAUUACUGGGCGUAAAGAGUUCGUAGGCGGUUUGUCGCGUCGUUCGUGAAAACUUGGGGCUUAACUCCAAGCGUGCGGGCGAUACGGGCAGACUUGAGUACUACAGGGGAGGCUGGAAUUCCUGGUGUAGCGGUGAAAUGCGUAGAUAUCAGGAGGAACACCGGUGGUGUAGACGGCUCUCUGGACCGUAACUGACGCUGAGGCACGAAAGCGUGGGUAGCAAACAGG